Molecule: ribosomal RNA, 490 nt
Filed under: uncultured bacterium
Lineage: Bacteria
Description: partial 16S ribosomal RNA
Rfam family: Bacterial small subunit ribosomal RNA
Source: RNAcentral
AUUGAACGCUGGCGGCAUGCCUUACACAUGCAAGUCGAACGGCAGCAUGAUCUAGCUUGCUUGAUUGAUGGCGAGUGGCGAACGGGUGAGUAAUACAUCGGAACGUGCCCUGUAGUGGGGGAUAACUAGUCGAAAGAUUAGCUAAUACCGCAUACGACCUGAGGGUGAAAGUGGGGGACCGCAAGGCCUCAUGCUAUAGUAGCGGCCGAUGUCUGAUUAGCUAGUUGGUGAGGUAAAGGCUCACCAAGGCGACGAUCAGUAGCUGGUCUGAGAGGACGAUCAGCCACACUGGGACUGAGACACGGCCCAGACUCCUACGGGAGGCAGCAGUGGGGAAUUUUGGACAAUGGGCGCAAGCCUGAUCCAGCCAUGCCGCGUGGGUGAAGAAGGCCUUCGGGUUGUAAAGCACUUUUGUCCGGAAAGAAAUGGCUCUGGUUAAUACCUGGGGUCGAUGACGGUACCGGAAGAAUAAGGACCGGCUAACUACGUG